RNAcentral lists this long non-coding RNA (1318 nucleotides) under Sus scrofa (pig). Its description in RNAcentral is "lncRNA (ENSSSCG00050064565.1)". Lineage: Eukaryota; Metazoa; Chordata; Mammalia; Artiodactyla; Suidae. The record is from RNAcentral.
AUGUUAGAAACUUCCAUCUCUGGUGACACCUUUCAAAUCCACGGUCAGAGAUCGUGGUCCUCCACUUACGCAAACAUGACCACUCUUUUCUCGCCAGUGUGUCUUCUCUUUCUGUCUCCUGUUAGGUUCACGGAGAAGGAGGUUCAUGUUCACCGGGACUUUCACCACUCUUCACAGCUGUCUCCUCUCUGGUCGCUGAUCCGAGCUCUUUUCCCUGCACAUCUGACAGAGCAAUGUCAGAAGUCUUUGGACUGGACAAAAAAACAAACAAACAAAAAAAAAAUAGGAGAGCACUCACACUGCACAAAGAUAGAGUGAUCAACUGUGGACAUAACCCAAAACCUUUGGAGAGUUGACUGCAAAGAGAGGUGUUCUGUUUGUCGUUCUGCACUCAACAGAAUCUUGCCAGGUGACUGCCAGGUACUUCCAGCCUCACAGGCCCCACGGGAGGAUGGGGAGUUCUCAGCCCCUCUUGUACAUGGCUCCCUUGCUGACCGGCCAGCCCCUAACUGGCCUCUUUCUGUCUGAAGGAGGUGCUGAGUCUCUGGGCUGUGCUCUCUGCCGCUCGCCGCAGCCUCUGUCCAUCCACCCCCCUGAAGCCAUGCUCUGUGCUCUUGGACCCAAAGCGGAGACCUCCAGGUGCUGAAUCACUUCCUGUGAAAGAAGAGGGGACCUCAGCCACCUCUUGGAGCAGGAAGGGCUGGGAGGGGACAUUCAGGCCCAGCAUGGUUCUGUUGAAGGAUAAAGGAAACCCAGGCUUAAUGAAAGUUAAAGACUUAUCCACUGGACGCCCAGAUUACAGCUGUACACUCCGGUCACCUGGGCACAGCUACAGUGCCAUGCCUGGACCGAUUAAAUCUGAAUCAAUAGAGGUGGGACCCAGGCAUCGAUAGCUGGUACCCAAGGCUAUAUGCCAUGGCAUUGUAGCGAGGAGCCCCCACGUGAACACAAAGGCCUGGGUUCACAGUCUUCCGGCACCCAAGCCGUAUGCAGGAAGUUCUGAUGUAAUUGGCUGUGCUUCAGGAUCAUUCACAAUUCCCAGAUAGUUCCAAUGUGCAGCUGAAUUUGAGAGCCACUGUGUUCAGUGUGGCCUCUUAAUGUGAAAACACCGUGUACUCUUGAGGGAAAAUGUAAGAUUUAAUUGAGCAAAAAAAAAAAAAUGUACCUGUUCAAGUUGGGGUGCACUCCACUGCCUGUUAAUCUGUAUGCACGUUCCAAGACACAGAAGCACCUGUAGUUGUGGGAACAUGAAUCCAUGAUUUUGCCUUUACACGUAGGUGUCAUUAGACUUGCUUGUGUCGAGCGAUUACCAUCACUG